This 27-nucleotide non-coding RNA is filed under the name Cricetulus griseus (Chinese hamster). The record is from RNAcentral. Lineage: Eukaryota; Metazoa; Chordata; Mammalia; Rodentia; Cricetidae.
GGCGCCGGCCUCACUGUGUCUCCUAUA